Molecule: long non-coding RNA, 3521 nt
Organism: Gavialis gangeticus (Gharial)
Lineage: Eukaryota; Metazoa; Chordata; Crocodylia; Gavialidae
Exons: 3
Source: RefSeq, a predicted model, not a curated record
AUAAGCUUUUGUAGGCAACAGCCCACUUUGCCAGGUGACAAAUGAAGUUGUUGUCUAUGAAAGCUUGGGCCUCUCUCAACCAGGUCAGAAAUCAUUACAAAAUAUUAAGGACAUUAUGUUAACAGCUUACUAUGAGCUUACUUGAACUUCCCAUAAGAUAUAUUCCAGACUUCUGAAGAAUUCAGUGGGAGGUUUAGAAUUUUUUCUACAGUAGUAAAGACCCUUGUAUUUCAUAUGUACACAUAACACACAUAUCACUAAAAAUGCAGAGAUACAAGGCAAAAUGUAGAACUGCAAAAUGGUAAAACUCUUUGAAGCUGUCUGCUUACAUCAGAGUUAAGUGUGGCCUGCAAGGUUUACACAGGUUAUUUAUGGAGUAAUCAUAUGAGAGUUUUACAUUCCAGUAAUCCUUUUGGAUACAUGGUGUAUAACUGAGUAUUUAAUGGAAUAAGGACAAAGUUUAUGGGUUGUCAGCUGUGUUUGUUGAGGGAGCAUAGGGCCAUUAGUCCAUGUACUAUGCAUAUUAAGAUACAUAUGGCAAUUUAUGAUCAGUUUUCUGAAAAUGCAUAGAUUUGUGUUUAAUGGUGAUUGUUUUUCAUGUUUUCAAGAUGAAAUCACCCCUACAAAGAGGACCGGAUCAAGGAGGAAUGCUCACUAAAGUUAUAUUUUAAAGAGAAAGAGGUUUUACACAGAGAUGAAAGGCACCGUAAGUGAUAAUUUAUGCAAGAAGAAUGAUGCAUUUUCAAAGCACUACACAGAUGCUUUCACUAAUUCUCAUAGCUGCACUUUGUGAAAAAGUAAGUAGUCCCCUCAUUGUAAGAUAAGGAAACUUUGUUGGAAGAGAAGUUAAAUGACUAACCCAUGGCAGCAGAAGUAGUCAGCCAGGGCUGGAACUCAAAGGGUAUGGCUGUACCACAAACCUACUAUGCCCAGCGAUAAGGUGCUCAAAUCCAUUGUGGUAUAGACAUGCCUCAGGAGAUCUGAUUCUUGGCCCUUUGUCAAAACCAAGGAACAUUUUUACAUGUGAAUUUAGAAGUACCUUCAGCAUUUGCUUCAAUGGAAACCAGAUUUUUACCCCAUAUAUUUAGAUUUACCUAUAAAGUGCAUAACGCACUGUUGACCCUGUAGGAACUACCUACUUUUCAAAAAUAUCUUUUUAAAAUCAAUAUUUUCUAAUAAUAUAUCAACUUAAAUGUUUCCAAAACAACUUUGCCCUAUUUGUGAAUAUUUCUGUGCAUUUAAUAUUUUAUUUCUGGAGUUUUUCAUGUGUAUAAUUUACCUUUGGACUCAGAUAAUGUAUCCCAUAUUUAUGCCUUGAACAAAUUUCAUUGCAGUUCCCUUUAAUUCCACUUUAAUACCACUGGAAAAGGGAUUAAGGUGGAAAUUGCAGUUGGUCCGUAACAAUAACAUGGGAAAUAGGGUGUGUAUGUGUGUGUGUGUGACUCCAGCCUUCAGCCAGCUGUAGUUAUACUGACAUCAAUCUAGUAUGUAAUCAUUAAUACCUCCCUCAGGGAGCACUAGCUGCCAGCAGCUAUUAAACAUACUGUGACCUGGUCUUUUCUCAAGAAGCUGUUGCUCAAUAUUAAUGAUCUCCACAAUUACUUGUCCUGACUCUAAACCUGGUCUGGAAAAGGUUAUUGACAGAGAUGGAGGCUGGCCAAUUUACUUUAUCCAGUCUUAUGGUUCUUUAUGGGUUUUAACUCUGGAUAUGGCAUGGAGGCAGUGCAUGUUGUGCUGACUGAUUGACUGUCUCAAGAUCACAUAUCACUAGCUACAUCCUGAGACUGGGAGCCUGGAACUACUAAUCCUGUACCUAAUAUGGACUGUGCCUGAAGGAAGACAAGAAAUCAUUAUGCCACAUAGACAAUCCUCCGAGAUAUGAAUUGGCUACAAGGAACUCUCCAAGCCCCGACUCCUCCAACUCCUUCUGCAAAUUACCCUGAGAACCUGCAGACAGUUGGUAAGUCCACAGGACAUGGAGAGUUCUGGCAACUGAAAGGAUCAAAUCCUCUCCCUCUUACUGUACCUCACUUCAGUGUACAAUCAACAAGAGGUGGGAGGAUAAGGGAGGAACCAGCUGCACGCCUCACCAUCACUGAAGCUGCCUGGGUUCCUCUCUUCCCAUAAAGGUUUUCAGAGGUUGUACCUGUUGUUUUACUAUGUAUUUUGGUUUUCUUUGGCUAAGAUUGCACCUUGUUCUAACGCUAAACAUUACAUUUACUUCCUCUAAGUAGUCAGCAGGUCUGACUGCACUAUUUUCCCUGUAAAUAUUUGUGACUAAUCAAGUUCUGUGUUGGCAUAACCAUUUACUGCUAUUCACUGAAUGCCAAAAAAACAGAAAGCUGCCAUAGAUUUGCUUAAAGAUUUUAUUGAACCAUAAAAAGAAACCAAACCAAAAACCAUCAAGCAAUUUAUGCAAGCUACUGAACUGGUAGUCCAUGACUCCAAAGUAGAACCAGAAUUGCAUUCAAAUUGGUACUUAAUUCAACAAAGUCUGCCAUCACUCCCCCUAAACCUCAUGUGAGACAAAACACAUCAUGUACCUUAGAAGACCCUUCCCCUCAGAAGUUUUUAUAAAUACAUCAAAUAGGCGAUUCCAAGCUUUGAAACAGCGUAUGUUGCACAUAAUCUGACAGUCCACAAAACAACAUAUGCCUUACCAAGCAAAUACACAUUAAAAUCACCAUGUGUAGCAUAGAAGUGAGAGCAUAUGGCAUCUCUAAUUUCCCUUACUUCCCUUGACCCUGUUCCUUUAUUGUUUAUGAGGUUACUUUGUAGUUGUGGGAAUUGGCUUAGUCUUAGUUCAUGCAAAAAUACUCAUCACUGGCUCUUACAGCCAUUGUGCAGAGCACAGCAGGUCACAGCAAAAUGCAAUUGUCAUCCAAGAGAUUUUGCGGGUACUGUUAUCUGGUCUUCAGGUAUCCAAAUAUACUUUCCACCAACUUCUGUGAUCACUAACAUGGUUCUGUUCAGCCCUAUGUUGUCUGUGUCCAGCUUCAGAAGCCAUGGCAGUUAAGAUAGGUGGGUUCCCAUAAAAUGGUGGUGCCUACCUGUACACUGUUGACUACUGUGUCAUGGAAGAAUAAGGAUUUAACUUGUCCAAAUGUGACAGAACUUUGUACACCUUUCUAGUGCUUUCCACAUCAGUUCAUGAACCUUCCCCUGUGGCCCACCGAGCUUUGCAGCACCUGGGAGUAGGACCACUUGCAGUUAGCAUAUUCAGCAGCUUCUUUAGGGGGCAUGCUAUGGAAACAUAAUCCUUGUUGGGAAAUGCAAUUAUCUGAAAGCCACUUUGAUUUAAGGUACAUUCCUGACACUGACAACAGCAACCAAGGAGUAAGCAGUUUUCAUAACAGCAGUGCAAACCCCCGCCAUCUCCAGCCUGACAGCUGGCUUCCAAUGCUAAACUGGUUAGACUCAGAUCUGUAGUAGUUCUUGAACAGCCAGUUUCCAAACCACAAUAGCAACCUAUUUCCCUAUAGCUAAUGACUGCCUUAGUCAUAGAAUCAUAGAAAAUUAGG